Molecule: long non-coding RNA, 819 nt
Organism: Strongylocentrotus purpuratus (purple sea urchin)
Lineage: Eukaryota; Metazoa; Echinodermata; Echinoidea; Camarodonta; Strongylocentrotidae
Exons: 2
Source: RefSeq, a predicted model, not a curated record
GUCACCUAUUGAAAUGUGCCAACAUGGCAAUGAUGUUUUGACAUAAUCCGAUCUGAUUUGUAGAAAGUUCGCACUUUUAGAAAGAUACUUUUUAUCACUUCUUAUCCUGCCUGGCCGAUGAUAUUUUGUGAUAACUUUAGUUACCAACCAAGUUUUGCUGAUUUGAUUUAUUGAUUUAUUAUUGUUUCGAUCAUUUUUUGUCUUUUAUUUUUGUAUUGCAGUAGAUGAGGAGUGUACUCAUGGCACCCCCUUGACUCAACAUCAAAGAAUGCUGUGUGAGGGUAGGGCCGGCAAAUAAGCGCAUCGAGAAGUUCGAGAAGCAUACUAACAGGAUAUUUUCCAUGUGCCUGUGGUCAGACGUCUUCUCUGUUUGUUGAGACUUUUGUCAAAUUGAUGCGAGAAAAAAUAUCAUCUGUGAUCAGUCAUCACUGACCUUAAUCCUAACCCCAAAGAAAUCUUAACCUUGCCUCUAAAAUAUUUUUCAAAAAUCAAUAAAUAAAUCCAUUUUGAAUCUUGUUUCAGAAGUAAAGUAUCAAUAUGCCUACAUAUAGCCCAAUAUAGUUUUGUGUUGACAACAGGUUAGUAACUUCACUGGAAAAUUGUAUUGUUUAAUAUAAUGCAUUGAAGAGUACAAUCGUGUACAUGUGCUUCAUAUGUAGAGAAAAACAUGCAAAUGAAACCAUUGAGGUGUAUACAUUAAUAGAAAUUAAUGAUCUAAACAGUAUGUUCCGAUUGUAAAUUGUCAAAUUUUUAAUUAGCUGCUUCAUUCUCUGAACCAUUGUGUACAAAAGGGUCUCAUUAAAUGGAAUGACGUAAUAA